This 347-nucleotide long non-coding RNA is filed under the name Mytilus galloprovincialis (Mediterranean mussel). Lineage: Eukaryota; Metazoa; Mollusca; Bivalvia; Mytilida; Mytilidae. The record is from RNAcentral.
UUGUCAAAAUUUUAUGAAAAUUAAACGAGCCAAAUUAAUUUUAGUUGACGUGUUGGGUACCACCUUAAGAUUCUACUAAAAUGUGGCUUUGGAAGAAUAUACAUCAAACAAGAGAUAAAAUUGGAAUCUUAUUUAAGUAAUUUUAGCUAAUGAAGCUGUAUCCUUUAUAUUUGUAACCUAUGUUUAUCUGUAUGAAAAAUCUGAGAAAAUACUGCAAUGUUUAUUCAUAUACUAUAAACCAACUUAUUUUCGCGGAUACUUUAUUUCGCGUUUAUCUCACGGGGGGGUCUCAACAUGGGAUUUUGGGUACAGGUGUGCAGCUGGGAUUUUAAAAACACCCCCAUUCA